Molecule: long non-coding RNA, 504 nt
Organism: Neofelis nebulosa (Clouded leopard)
Lineage: Eukaryota; Metazoa; Chordata; Mammalia; Carnivora; Felidae
Exons: 3
Source: RefSeq, a predicted model, not a curated record
AGGUCAUGUGCCUAUCCCUGGACUAAUCACCAUGGCCACGUAAUUGGUGAAUUCUCACUGGCUAUCCUGGAUCAUGUGACUACCGUUGGAGCAAUCACGGUGGCAAGGUCAUGUGCCUAUCCCUGGACUAAUCUCCAUGGCCACGUAGUUGGUGAAUUUUAAUUGGCUAUCUUGCAUCAUGUGACUACCUUCAACCAAUUAUCAUGAGAGACAGCGUGAGCAGGACAGGGGCAGAGAGAGAGGAUCCUAAACUGGUUCCAUGCUAUCAGCACCGAGCCCAAAGUGGGGAUCCCUCCCAUGAACUGGGAGAUCAUGACCUGAGCCGAAAUCAAGAGUUGGACACUUACCUGACUGAGCCGCCCAGGCGCCUCAAGUCACUUUUAACCAAACAGAUGAAGACACCAUUCAAAGGGCUGGUAAAACAAAAAAGAAAGAAGAAAUCUGGGUCCCUGGAUGACUUUUUAGAGCAGUUUCCCUAUUCCUCAGUCUACCUCCCGGGUCAGA